GAUGAACGCUGGCGGCGCGCCUAACACAUGCAAGUCGAACGGCACCCACCUUCGGGUGGAAGCGAGUGGCGAACGGCUGAGUAACACGUGGAGAACCUGCCCCCUCCCCCGGGAUAGCCGCCCGAAAGGACGGGUAAUACCGGAUACCCCGGGGUGCCGCAUGGCACCCCGGCUAAAGCCCCGACGGGAGGGGAUGGCUCCGCGGCCCAUCAGGUAGACGGCGGGGUGACGGCCCACCGUGCCGACAACGGGUAGCCGGGUUGAGAGACCGACCGGCCAGAUUGGGACUGAGACACGGCCCAGACUCCUACGGGAGGCAGCAGUGGGGAAUCUUGCGCAAUGGGGGAAACCCUGACGCAGCGACGCCGCGUGCGGGACGGAGGCCUUCGGGUCGUAAACCGCUUUCAGCAGGGAAGAGUCAAGACUGUACCUGCAGAAGAAGCCCCGGCUAACUACGUG
This 459-nucleotide ribosomal RNA is filed under the name uncultured bacterium. Its description in RNAcentral is "bacterial SSU rRNA". It matches the Rfam family "Bacterial small subunit ribosomal RNA", at positions 28 to 507 of the family's 1533-position model. The record is from RNAcentral.